Molecule: ribosomal RNA, 251 nt
Filed under: uncultured bacterium
Lineage: Bacteria
Description: partial 16S ribosomal RNA
Rfam family: Bacterial small subunit ribosomal RNA
Source: RNAcentral
UACGGGGGGAGCAAGCGUUGUUCGGAUUACUGGGCGUAAAGGCGCGUAGGCGGCCACCGCAAGUCGGUUGUGAAAUCUCUGGGCUUAACCCAGAAAGGUCAACCGAUACUGCGGGGCUAGAGUGCAGAAGGGCAACUGGAAUUCUCGGUGUAGCGGUGAAAUGCGUAGAUAUCGAGAGGAACACCUGCGGCGAAGGCGGGUUGCUGGGCUGACACUGACGCUGAAGCGCGAAAGCUAGGGGAGCGAACGGG